GGAUAAUAAUAUCAUGAUAUACUUUUAGAUUCAUUUGACACAUAAUAUAAGAAUAAAAUAAUCUAAAAUGUGUAAAAUUUUAUAAUUUUUCAAGAAAGAAAAAAAUAAAAAAUAAGAAUAAUAUAAAAUGAAUAUAAAAAAAUUUAGGUGUAUCAAAUAAUAUUUUUUAUUUCGUAUACCAGAUUUAUAUGUCUCAUUUGGAAAGACUUACCAAAUCUUAAACUGGUCGAACCAUCCACUUACCUGCCUCUACUUACCCCUACUUGUUCUUCAAUACUACUUCAAUCUUUUUUUCACACCAAAUAGUCAUUUACUUUAUUAUUUCAACUCCUCGUUCUUAUAAAAUUUUCCAUGCAUGGUUUAAGAUUUUCCAAACAAACCAAACCAUAAACCUAAAUAAAUCAUAAAAGAUUCUUUGACAGCGAAAACAUUUGUACAGCUAGACUGUCGUACCACCGACUCAUUAACAUGUUUCAUCAUUUCGGAUUACACUACAAGCCUUGCAAAUUAUAACUUUCCUCUAUUACACUCAAAACAACCUCCUCCUCCAUGGCCCCGCUGUUGUGUCAGGUACCUCGGUUACAUUUUCCUCAUAAGUUUCACUCACAGACUCAACAGUGUUCAAUAAACCAAAUAUAUCAGAAAAUGCUUACAAGCGCAGAUAAUGUACAUCCACUUUUAAGCUAUAAAAUAAUUCACACCCUUUACAGCAGGAAACAUAUGUGUUCUUAG
RNAcentral lists this long non-coding RNA (732 nucleotides) under Vigna radiata. RNAcentral's name for it is "long non-coding RNA (VRAD_LNC008948)". The record is from RNAcentral. Lineage: Eukaryota; Viridiplantae; Streptophyta; Magnoliopsida; Fabales; Fabaceae.